Molecule: long non-coding RNA, 461 nt
Filed under: Meleagris gallopavo (turkey)
Lineage: Eukaryota; Metazoa; Chordata; Aves; Galliformes; Phasianidae
Description: lncRNA (ENSMGAG00000020106.1)
Source: RNAcentral
CUGGUUCUGCUUUUCCUUUGUAGAUUCACAUGGUGCAGAUCUGAGUAAGUCUCCCUCCCUACACUGAAGGAGAGUGGGGGUCUUCCCACAGGAUCAGCCACGGGAUGACCAUCUGAUCCCUCUCAUCACGUGUUUCCUAUUUGUUUCUCUAGCAGAAAAACAAGCUGCAGAACCAGGGGAACAAACUGAAGAAGAGGAGACACGGAAACCACUGCUGAAAAAACCAUUUGAAGAAUCAGACUGAGAGAUGAACUGCAUGGCGCAAUAACCACAGGAGUUAAGCAUCAGAGACUACAGAUUGCACAGGAUACCAAAACCACAAUAACUCCAAGCAAGCAAGGAAAUCCACAAUGAAACAAGUGGAGCCAGCAGUGUUUUAUUGAGAACACUGUAGUUCUGUGAGCCAAAGCUGUCUGAACUGAGGAUGUGUGACCUCUAACUCAAAUCCAAUUGGAAGAAAG